UACGUAGGUGGCAAGCGUUGUCCGGAAUUAUUGGGCGUAAAGCGCGCGCAGGCGGUUCUUUAAGUCUGAUGUGAAAGCCCACGGCUCAACCGUGGAGGGUCAUUGGAAACUGGAGAACUUGAGUACAGAAGAGGAAAGCGGAAUUCCACGUGUAGCGGUGAAAUGCGUAGAGAUGUGGAGGAACACCAGUGGCGAAGGCGGCUUUCUGGUCUGUAACUGACGCUGAGGCGCGAGAGCGUGGGGAGCAAACAGG
This 253-nucleotide ribosomal RNA is filed under the name uncultured bacterium. Its description in RNAcentral is "partial 16S ribosomal RNA". It matches the Rfam family "Bacterial small subunit ribosomal RNA", at positions 524 to 776 of the family's 1533-position model. The record is from RNAcentral.